GAUAUUAUAGUUUAAAGGUAGAAUAUCAAGCUCAUAAUUUGAAGAUACAGGUUCAAUUCCUAUUAAUAUUA
This 71-nucleotide transfer RNA is filed under the name Sphaerothecum destruens. RNAcentral describes it as "tRNA-Met". It matches the Rfam family "tRNA". From Rfam's summary of the family: Transfer RNA (tRNA) molecules are approximately 80 nucleotides in length. Their secondary structure includes four short double-helical elements and three loops (D, anti-codon, and T loops). The record is from RNAcentral. Lineage: Eukaryota; Ichthyosporea; Dermocystida.